RNAcentral lists this ribosomal RNA (717 nucleotides) under Chytridiomycota sp. LLSA5_1 PML-2011s. RNAcentral describes it as "eukaryotic LSU rRNA". It matches the Rfam family "Eukaryotic large subunit ribosomal RNA", at positions 107 to 858 of the family's 3401-position model. The record is from RNAcentral. Lineage: Eukaryota; Fungi; Chytridiomycota.
GCUCAAAUUUGAAAUCUCCUUCGGGCGAAUUGUAGUUUAGAGAAGCGUUUUCGGCUCGACGGUUGGUACAAGUUCUUUGGAACAAGACAUCAUAGAGGGUGAAAAUCCCGUCUUUGACCAAUCUCACGGCCUUGUGAUACGUUUUCCAAGAGUCGGUUUGUUUGGGAAUGCAGACCAAAAAGGGAGGUAAAUACCUUCUAAAGCUAAAUAUUGGCGAGAGACCGAUAGCGAACAAGUACCGUGAGGGAAGGAUGAAAAGAACUUUGAAAAGAGAGUGAAACAGUACGUGAAAUUGUCAAAAGGGAAACGUUUGAAAGCGGUAUUGCGGCUAGGAUUUCAGCUUUUGUGGAUGGUCCUGGUGGCGAGUCAACAUCAGUUCGGUUGGGAGCAAACAGCCGUGUGAAGGUAGCCCUCGGGUGUUAUAGCGCAUGGUCGUACUCUCGACGGGACUGAGGACAGCAGCGUUUUUGGCUUUGCACACUCGCGCUUGGGAUGUUGACGAAAUGGUUUUAAGCGACCCGUCUUGAAACACGGACCAAGGAGUCUAACAUAUAUGCGAGUAUUUGGGUGGCAAACCCUUGUGCGCAAUGAAAGUGAAAAGGUGGGAUCCUCGGAGCACCAUCGACCGCGCCAGAUUCCGAUCUCGGCGUGAGUAUGAGCAUAGAUGCUGGGACCCGAAAGAUGGUGAACUAUGCCUGAAUAGGGUGAAGCCAGAGG